AUACGGAGGGUGCGAACGUUAAUCGGAAUUACUGGGCGUAAAGCGCGCGUAGGCGGUUCGACAAGUGGGGUGUGAAAGCCCAGGGCUUAACCUUGGAACUGCAUUCCAAACUGUCGGACUAGAGUAUGGUAGAGGGAGGUAGAAUUUCCUGUGUAGCGGUGAAAUGCGUAGAUAUAGGAAGGAAUACCGGUGGCGAAGGCGGCCUCCUGGACCAAUACUGACGCUGAGGUGCGAAAGCAUGGGGAGCAAACAGGAUUAGAGACCCGUGUAGUCC
RNAcentral lists this ribosomal RNA (274 nucleotides) under uncultured bacterium. Its description in RNAcentral is "partial 16S ribosomal RNA". It matches the Rfam family "Bacterial small subunit ribosomal RNA", at positions 523 to 796 of the family's 1533-position model. The record is from RNAcentral.